Molecule: ribosomal RNA, 484 nt
Filed under: uncultured bacterium
Lineage: Bacteria
Description: partial 16S ribosomal RNA
Rfam family: Bacterial small subunit ribosomal RNA
Source: RNAcentral
AUUGAACGCUGGCGGAAUGCUUUACACAUGCAAGUCGAGCGGCAGCACGGGGGCAACCCUGGUGGCGAGCGGCGAACGGGUGAGUAAUACAUCGGAACAUGCCCAGUCGUGGGGGCUAACACUUCGAAAGAAGUGCUAAUACCGCAUACGUCCUGAGGGGGAAAGCGGGGGAUCGCAAGACCUCGCGCGAUUGGAGUGGCCGAUGUCAGAUUAGCUAGUUGGUGGGGUAAAGGCCUACCAAGGCAACGAUCUGUAGCUGGUCUGAGAGGAUGAUCAGCCACACUGGGACUGAGACACGGCCCAGACUCCUACGGGAGGCAGCAGUGGGGAAUUUUGGACAAUGGGGGCAACCCUGAUCCAGCCAUUCCGCGUGAGUGAAGAAGGCCUUCGGGUUGUAAAGCUCUUUCGGCAGGAACGAAACGGUGAGCUCUAACAUAGCUUGCUAAUGACGGUACCUGAAGAAGAAGCACCGGCUAACUACGUG